Molecule: ribosomal RNA, 497 nt
Filed under: uncultured bacterium
Lineage: Bacteria
Description: partial 16S ribosomal RNA
Rfam family: Bacterial small subunit ribosomal RNA
Source: RNAcentral
GAUGAACGCUGGCGGCGUGCCUAAUACAUGCAAGUCGAGCGAACGGACGAGAAGCUUGCUUCUCUGAUGUUAGCGGCGGACGGGUGAGUAACACGUGGAUAACCUACCUAUAAGACUGGGAUAACUUCGGGAAACCGGAGCUAAUACCGGAUGAUAUUUUGAACCGCAUGGUUCAAAAGUGAAAGACGGUCUUGCUGUCACUUAUAGAUGGAUCCGCGCUGCACUAGCUAGUUGGUAAGGUAACGGCUUACCAAGGCAACGAUGCAUAGCCGACCUGAGAGGGUGAUCGGCCACACUGGAACUGAGACACGGUCCAGACUCCUACGGGAGGCAGCAGUAGGGAAUCUUCCGCAAUGGGCGAAAGCCUGACGGAGCAACGCCGCGUGAGUGAUGAAGGUCUUCGGAUCGUAAAACUCUGUUAUUAGGGAAGAACAUAUGUGUAAGUAACUGUGCACAUCUUGACGGUACCUAAUCAGAAAGCCACGGCUAACUACGUG